Molecule: ribosomal RNA, 514 nt
Filed under: uncultured Glomus
Lineage: Eukaryota; Fungi; Glomeromycota; Glomeromycetes; Glomerales; Glomeraceae
Description: SSU rRNA
Rfam family: Eukaryotic small subunit ribosomal RNA
Source: RNAcentral
AGCAGCCGCGGUAAUUCCAGCUCCAAUAGCGUAUAUUAAAGUUGUUGCAGUUAAAAAGCUCGUAGUUGAAUUUCGGGGUUAGUAGGUUGGUCAUGCCUCUGGUAUGUACUGGUCUCACUGAUUCCUCCUUCCUGAUGAGCCGUAAUGCCAUUAAUUUGGUGUUGCGGGGAAUUUGGACUGUUACUUUGAAAAAAUUAGAGUGUUUAAAGCAAGCUAACGCUUGAAUACAUUAGCAUGGAAUAAUGAAAUAGGACGUUUGAUUCUAUUUUGUUGGUUUCUAGGAUCGACGUAAUGAUUAAUAGGGAUAGUUGGGGGCAUUAGUAUUCAAUUGUCAGAGGUGAAAUUCUUGGAUUUAUUGAAGACUAACUACUGCGAAAGCAUUUGCCAAGGAUGUUUUCAUUAAUCAAGAACGAAAGUUAGGGGAUCGAAGACGAUCAGAUACCGUCGUAGUCUUAACCAUAAACUAUGCCGACUAGGGAUCGGAUGAUGUUAAUUUUUAAUGACUCAUUCGGCG